UAUGUUCUAUUUUUAGCCAUGGCGGCCAUCUUGGUUAGUUGACCUGGUCACUGGACACAAUUUUUAAACUAGAUACCCCAAUGAUGAUUGUGGCCAAGUUUGGUUUAAUUUGGCCCAGUAGUUUCAGAGGAGAAGAUUUUUGUAAAGGAUUACUCAGAUUUACAAAAAAUGGUUAAAAAUUGACUAUAAAGGGCAAUAACUCCUAAAGGGGUCAACUGACCAUUUCGGUAGUAUAGACUUAUUUGUAAAUCUUAUUUUGCUGAACAUUAUUGCUGUUUACAGUUUAUCUCUAUCUAUAAUAUUAUUCAAGAAAAUAACCAAAAACAGCAAAAUUUCCUUAAAAUUACC
Molecule: long non-coding RNA, 348 nt
Filed under: Mytilus galloprovincialis (Mediterranean mussel)
Lineage: Eukaryota; Metazoa; Mollusca; Bivalvia; Mytilida; Mytilidae
Source: RNAcentral